CAGGCCUAACACAUGCAAGUCUAGGGGGCGUAGCAAUACGUCACCGGCGGACGGGUGCGUAACACGUGGGAAUGUACUUAUUGGUUCGGAACAACUCAGGGAAACUUGAGCUAAUACCGAAUGUGCCCAUAAGGGGAAAGAUUUAUCGCCAAUAAAUCAGCCCGCGUCCGAUUAGCUAGUUGGUGGGGUAAAGGCCCACCAAGGCGACGAUCGGUAGCUGUUCUGAGAGGAAGAUCAGCCACACUGGGACUGAGACACGGCCCAGACUCCUACGGGAGGCAGCAGUUGGGAAUCUUGGACAAUGGGGGAAACCCUGAUCCAGCCAUGCCGCGUGAGUGAUGAAGGCCUUCGGGUUGUAAAACUCUUUCGACGGGGACGAUAAUGACGGUACCCGUAGAAGAAGCUCCGGCUAACUUCGUGCCAGCAGCCGCGGUAAUACA
RNAcentral lists this ribosomal RNA (440 nucleotides) under uncultured Alphaproteobacteria bacterium. Its description in RNAcentral is "bacterial SSU rRNA". It matches the Rfam family "Bacterial small subunit ribosomal RNA", at positions 43 to 527 of the family's 1533-position model. Lineage: Bacteria; Pseudomonadati; Pseudomonadota; Alphaproteobacteria. The record is from RNAcentral.